CAUGGUCGGUCUAAAGUAUCCUUGUCAUAACACUUUAUGGGUAAGGGUCAUGAUUGCCACAUUUUCCUUCAUGAACUUUUCAUAAGGCAUAUUCAACUUUCGAGGGAUGGAGGCACUGAAGUAAGGGCAAGGUGAAGGACCUUUUGUAUAAUCUUCUAUCGUAAACGAGGUACUGGGGUGCAAGAUGCUUCAACUUCUUGGCUUCAUCUCAAUCAAUAGGUAACACUCCAUCUUGC
This 236-nucleotide long non-coding RNA is filed under the name Elaeis guineensis (African oil palm). RNAcentral's name for it is "long non-coding RNA (EGUI_LNC051443)". The record is from RNAcentral. Lineage: Eukaryota; Viridiplantae; Streptophyta; Magnoliopsida; Arecales; Arecaceae.